RNAcentral lists this long non-coding RNA (2258 nucleotides) under Homo sapiens (human). Its description in RNAcentral is "H19 imprinted maternally expressed transcript, transcript variant 7 (H19)". The stretch from base 1012 to 1084 matches the Rfam family "mir-675 microRNA precursor family". Lineage: Eukaryota; Metazoa; Chordata; Mammalia; Primates; Hominidae. The record is from RNAcentral.
AGGGUGAGGGAGGGGGUGGGAUGGGUGGGGGGUAACGGGGGAAACUGGGGAAGUGGGGAACCGAGGGGCAACCAGGGGAAGAUGGGGUGCUGGAGGAGAGCUUGUGGGAGCCAAGGAGCACCUUGGACAUCUGGAGUCUGGCAGGAGUGAUGACGGGUGGAGGGGCUAGCUCGAGGCAGGGCUGGUGGGGCCUGAGGCCAGUGAGGAGUGUGGAGUAGGCGCCCAGGCAUCGUGCAGACAGGGCGACAUCAGCUGGGGACGAUGGGCCUGAGCUAGGGCUGGAAAGAAGGGGGAGCCAGGCAUUCAUCCCGGUCACUUUUGGUUACAGGACGUGGCAGCUGGUUGGACGAGGGGAGCUGGUGGGCAGGGUUUGAUCCCAGGGCCUGGGCAACGGAGGUGUAGCUGGCAGCAGCGGGCAGGUGAGGACCCCAUCUGCCGGGCAGGUGAGUCCCUUCCCUCCCCAGGCCUCGCUUCCCCAGCCUUCUGAAAGAAGGAGGUUUAGGGGAUCGAGGGCUGGCGGGGAGAAGCAGACACCCUCCCAGCAGAGGGGCAGGAUGGGGGCAGGAGAGUUAGCAAAGGUGACAUCUUCUCGGGGGGAGCCGAGACUGCGCAAGGCUGGGGGGUUAUGGGCCCGUUCCAGGCAGAAAGAGCAAGAGGGCAGGGAGGGAGCACAGGGGUGGCCAGCGUAGGGUCCAGCACGUGGGGUGGUACCCCAGGCCUGGGUCAGACAGGGACAUGGCAGGGGACACAGGACAGAGGGGUCCCCAGCUGCCACCUCACCCACCGCAAUUCAUUUAGUAGCAGGCACAGGGGCAGCUCCGGCACGGCUUUCUCAGGCCUAUGCCGGAGCCUCGAGGGCUGGAGAGCGGGAAGACAGGCAGUGCUCGGGGAGUUGCAGCAGGACGUCACCAGGAGGGCGAAGCGGCCACGGGAGGGGGGCCCCGGGACAUUGCGCAGCAAGGAGGCUGCAGGGGCUCGGCCUGCGGGCGCCGGUCCCACGAGGCACUGCGGCCCAGGGUCUGGUGCGGAGAGGGCCCACAGUGGACUUGGUGACGCUGUAUGCCCUCACCGCUCAGCCCCUGGGGCUGGCUUGGCAGACAGUACAGCAUCCAGGGGAGUCAAGGGCAUGGGGCGAGACCAGACUAGGCGAGGCGGGCGGGGCGGAGUGAAUGAGCUCUCAGGAGGGAGGAUGGUGCAGGCAGGGGUGAGGAGCGCAGCGGGCGGCGAGCGGGAGGCACUGGCCUCCAGAGCCCGUGGCCAAGGCGGGCCUCGCGGGCGGCGACGGAGCCGGGAUCGGUGCCUCAGCGUUCGGGCUGGAGACGAGGCCAGGUCUCCAGCUGGGGUGGACGUGCCCACCAGCUGCCGAAGGCCAAGACGCCAGGUCCGGUGGACGUGACAAGCAGGACAUGACAUGGUCCGGUGUGACGGCGAGGACAGAGGAGGCGCGUCCGGCCUUCCUGAACACCUUAGGCUGGUGGGGCUGCGGCAAGAAGCGGGUCUGUUUCUUUACUUCCUCCACGGAGUCGGCACACUAUGGCUGCCCUCUGGGCUCCCAGAACCCACAACAUGAAAGCUUGGAAAUGAAUAUGCUGCACUUUACAACCACUGCACUACCUGACUCAGGAAUCGGCUCUGGAAGGUGAAGCUAGAGGAACCAGACCUCAUCAGCCCAACAUCAAAGACACCAUCGGAACAGCAGCGCCCGCAGCACCCACCCCGCACCGGCGACUCCAUCUUCAUGGCCACCCCCUGCGGCGGACGGUUGACCACCAGCCACCACAUCAUCCCAGAGCUGAGCUCCUCCAGCGGGAUGACGCCGUCCCCACCACCUCCCUCUUCUUCUUUUUCAUCCUUCUGUCUCUUUGUUUCUGAGCUUUCCUGUCUUUCCUUUUUUCUGAGAGAUUCAAAGCCUCCACGACUCUGUUUCCCCCGUCCCUUCUGAAUUUAAUUUGCACUAAGUCAUUUGCACUGGUUGGAGUUGUGGAGACGGCCUUGAGUCUCAGUACGAGUGUGCGUGAGUGUGAGCCACCUUGGCAAGUGCCUGUGCAGGGCCCGGCCGCCCUCCAUCUGGGCCGGGUGACUGGGCGCCGGCUGUGUGCCCGAGGCCUCACCCUGCCCUCGCCUAGUCUGGAAGCUCCGACCGACAUCACGGAGCAGCCUUCAAGCAUUCCAUUACGCCCCAUCUCGCUCUGUGCCCCUCCCCACCAGGGCUUCAGCAGGAGCCCUGGACUCAUCAUCAAUAAACACUGUUACAGCAA